This 71-nucleotide transfer RNA is filed under the name Loxodonta africana (African savanna elephant). It matches the Rfam family "tRNA". From Rfam's summary of the family: Transfer RNA (tRNA) molecules are approximately 80 nucleotides in length. Their secondary structure includes four short double-helical elements and three loops (D, anti-codon, and T loops). The record is from Rfam by way of RNAcentral. Lineage: Eukaryota; Metazoa; Chordata; Mammalia; Proboscidea; Elephantidae.
ACGUUGGUGGUUCAGUGGUAGAAUUCUCACCUUCUGUGUAGGAGACCUGGGUUCAAUCCUAGGCCAAUGCG